AAAUUGAAGAGUUUGAUCAUGGCUCAGAUUGAACGCUGGCGGCAGGCCUAACACAUGCAAGUCGAGCGGUAGCACAGGAGAGCUUGCUCUCUGGGUGACGAGCGGCGGACGGGUGAGUAAUGUCUGGGAAACUGCCUGAUGGAGGGGGAUAACUACUGGAAACGGUAGCUAAUACCGCAUAACGUCUACGGACCAAAGUGGGGGACCUUCGGGCCUCACGCCAUCAGAUGUGCCCAGAUGGGAUUAGCUAGUAGGUGGGGUAAUGGCUCACCUAGGCGACGAUCCCUAGCUGGUCUGAGAGGAUGACCAGCCACACUGGAACUGAGACACGGUCCAGACUCCUACGGGAGGCAGCAGUGGGGAAUAUUGCACAAUGGGCGCAAGCCUGAUGCAGCCAUGCCGCGUGUGUGAAGAAGGCCUUAGGGUUGUAAAGCACUUUCAGCGAGGAGGAAGGGUAGUGUGUUAAUAGCACAUUGCAUUGACGUUACUCGCAGAAGAAGCACCGGCUAACUCCGUGCCAGCAGCCGCGGUAAUACGGAGGGUGCAAGCGUUAAUCGGAAUUACUGGGCGUAAAGCGCACGCAGGCGGUUUGUUAAGUCAGAUGUGAAAUCCCCGCGCUUAACGUGGGAACUGCAUUUGAAACUGGCAAGCUAGAGUCUUGUAGAGGGGGGUAGAAUUCCAGGUGUAGCGGUGAAAUGCGUAGAGAUCUGGAGGAAUACCGGUGGCGAAGGCGGCCCCCUGGACAAAGACUGACGCUCAGGUGCGAAAGCGUGGGGAGCAAACAGGAUUAGAUACCCUGGUAGUCCACGCUGUAAACGAUGUCGAUUUGGAGGUUGUGCCCUUGAGGCGUGGCUUCCGGAGCUAACGCGUUAAAUCGACCGCCUGGGGAGUACGGCCGCAAGGUUAAAACUCAAAUGAAUUGACGGGGGCCCGCACAAGCGGUGGAGCAUGUGGUUUAAUUCGAUGCAACGCGAAGAACCUUACCUACUCUUGACAUCCAGAGAACUUUCCAGAGAUGGAUUGGUGCCUUCGGGAACUCUGAGACAGGUGCUGCAUGGCUGUCGUCAGCUCGUGUUGUGAAAUGUUGGGUUAAGUCCCGCAACGAGCGCAACCCUUAUCCUUUGUUGCCAGCGAUUCGGUCGGGAACUCAAAGGAGACUGCCGGUGAUAAACCGGAGGAAGGUGGGGAUGACGUCAAGUCAUCAUGGCCCUUACGAGUAGGGCUACACACGUGCUACAAUGGCGUAUACAAAGAGAAGCGAACUCGCGAGAGCAAGCGGACCUCAUAAAGUACGUCGUAGUCCGGAUUGGAGUCUGCAACUCGACUCCAUGAAGUCGGAAUCGCUAGUAAUCGUAGAUCAGAAUGCUACGGUGAAUACGUUCCCGGGCCUUGUACACACCGCCCGUCACACCAUGGGAGUGGGUUGCAAAAGAAGUAGGUAGCUUAACCUUCGGGAGGGCGCUUACCACUUUGUGAUUCAUGACUGGGGUGAAGUCGUAACAAGGUAACCGUAGGGGAACCUGCGGUUGGAUCACCUCCUUA
Molecule: ribosomal RNA, 1542 nt
Filed under: Serratia plymuthica
Lineage: Bacteria; Pseudomonadati; Pseudomonadota; Gammaproteobacteria; Enterobacterales; Yersiniaceae
Also listed under: 2 other names
Description: bacterial SSU rRNA
Rfam family: Bacterial small subunit ribosomal RNA
Source: RNAcentral